RNAcentral lists this transfer RNA (69 nucleotides) under Thermoprotei archaeon. RNAcentral's name for it is "tRNA-Met". It matches the Rfam family "tRNA". Rfam says of the family: Transfer RNA (tRNA) molecules are approximately 80 nucleotides in length. Their secondary structure includes four short double-helical elements and three loops (D, anti-codon, and T loops). The record is from RNAcentral. Lineage: Archaea; Thermoproteati; Thermoproteota; Thermoprotei.
GGGCGGGUGGGGGCCGAUCCCGCGGGGCUCAUAACCCCGAGGUCGGAGGUUCAAAUCCUCCCCCCGCUA